GUGUUUGCCGUUGUGAUGCGGGCGUGUGUGUGUGGAGUCUGUGUGCGCUGGAGAGAGCAGUGUGUCCCCCCGAGGACCUCGGGGUCCCAGAGCUGUGCACACGCUGCCCCCCUGGACGUACAGAACCAGCAGGUGGCAUCGCUCCACACAGGCCACCGAACGGCCCUGCCCCGCCCCCUGCCACGCCCUGUGCGUGCAUCCGGGUCCCCGCGCAGUGGCUGCACGCAGCCCACCUCUCCCGACGAUCCGGGUCCUCCCGCCCUUCGCGGUGAUUCUGUCGCGAACCCUCUCACGGCAGCUAUGAGACUGCUGCGCUCCCCAGACGAGGAAACCUGGUCUCCCGGAGCCAGCUCUGGGACAAACCAGCUUCUAUGUCAUGAGCACACUCAGGCAGCUCAUUGGAGAGAUCUGCAUGGUAAAGCAAUGAGGCCUCCUGCCAGCAGCCAUGUGAGUGGCAUCUUGGAGCCAGACCCUCCAGCCCCAGUCAAGCCUUCGGAUGCCUGCAGCCCUGGCUGACAUUUUAACCACAACUUCAUGAGAGAUUCUGAGCCAGAAUCACCCAGCUAAGCUGCUCCCGGGUUGCCAGGU
Homo sapiens (human) is the source of this 588-nucleotide long non-coding RNA. The record is from Ensembl. NCBI's taxonomy places the organism in Eukaryota, Metazoa, Chordata, Mammalia, Primates, Hominidae.